Apis dorsata (giant honeybee) is the source of this 354-nucleotide long non-coding RNA. RefSeq lists it as uncharacterized. The record is from RefSeq and is a predicted model, not a curated record. NCBI's taxonomy places the organism in Eukaryota, Metazoa, Arthropoda, Insecta, Hymenoptera, Apidae. The transcript has 3 exons.
AAGAUUGAUAAGAGACGUUUGUCCAAGAGUUUGUCUGUAUCCAUGUAAAUCCUUUGGUACAGUUCCAUUAAGAUUCAUGGCCCCGACGUCAGAUCCGAUUUUGAAGAAUCGGCGAAGUGGGACGAAUCGAGACGAUGUUUGCAAAAGUUUAAGUAGUAAACUUUUCGAUGCGGAACAUGUCCGUGAAAUCGUGGAUAACAUGAGGUGGGAUCACGAGGGAAUAAAGAUUCGACGUUUGUGUAUCGUAAAUUUUAUACCGUAUAAAAGGGUGGCUAGGAAGAGGGUGGUUAGGAGUGGAUAAAAAUAUAUAUCUGCAGGAUAAGAUUAUUUUCAAUUUCACGUACAACUUUGUAA